UACGUAGGUGACAAGCGUUGUCCGGAUUUACUGGGCGUAAAGAGCGCGCAGGCGGCGCGGUAAGUCGGGUGUGAAAUCUCGGGGCUUAACUCCGAAACUGCAUUCGAUACUGCCGUGCUUGAGGACUGGAGAGGAGACUGGAAUUUACGGUGUAGCGGUGAAAUGCGUAGAUAUCGUAAGGAAGACCAGUGGCGAAGGCGGGUCUCUGGACAGUUCCUGACGCUGAGGCACGAAGGUCAGGGGAGCAAACGGG
RNAcentral lists this ribosomal RNA (253 nucleotides) under uncultured bacterium. RNAcentral describes it as "partial 16S ribosomal RNA". It matches the Rfam family "Bacterial small subunit ribosomal RNA", at positions 524 to 776 of the family's 1533-position model. The record is from RNAcentral.